UAAUAAUAAUAAUAAUAGUAAUAAUCCUCACAGCGCCCUCAGCAGGUCAGUUAAGAGAAAAACACAUUUCACUAAACAGAAAUCUCAGUGUGGAAGUGCUUUACUGCCAUCUUGUGGAUACUAAAUUUAAUGUCUGUAAUAAAAAUAAUAAUUAAAUAAUCCUUUACAUUUAAUUACUCAUGUUUUUAAUCCUGAAACCCAGACUAAAUGCUUGUGUAUUUAAAAAAUAAUAUCUAAUAGGAAGUGACAUGGUAAGAAUUAUUUCAAAAUUGUCAAAAUUGUCUAAUAUUCCUUAAAAUUAUUAAUAAAUAAAUGUUCUAAAUGUUAUAAAAGUCUAGAAAUGAUUUAAAUCAUGAUAUAAUGUUGUAAUAAAGUAAUGAUAAAUAUUAAGCGUGUGUGUGUGUGUGUGUGUGUAUGUGUGUGUGUGUGUCAGUGUGUGUGUGUGUGUGUGUGUGUGUGUGUGUGUGUGUGUAGCUGAUGUAGUUGUAGUGUGCUGCAGUGGUUUAUCAGUGUGUGUGUGUGUGUGUGUGUGUGUGUGUGUGUGUGG
Molecule: long non-coding RNA, 547 nt
Organism: Ictalurus punctatus (channel catfish)
Lineage: Eukaryota; Metazoa; Chordata; Actinopteri; Siluriformes; Ictaluridae
Source: Ensembl